UUGGAUAGUGAAGAUAACUAAAUCAGACAAUUGUGACUGGAACACUUUUGUCAAAUGACAAUUAAGUCUGCCUAAUCCACCAAAAUUGUUAUUGAAAAAAAGAGAUACAUUUGUGAACUUUACAAAAAGUUGUUUUGUUUUCUACUCAAUCAAACUCAAUUGUUUGCAUCAAUGUAGUCUCUUGUGUGUUACUACAUGACAAGUUUCUAACACUUCUUCCAUCUUAUGUCAUGACCUCUAAAGCCUCUAUGGUUUGUCCAAGUAUGUUAAAUAUUGUUGCUGCAAUAUGAGAUGGUGUUAAUCCAGCUUCCGCCAACUGAUCAACUGGAGAUCCACGAUUAAUUGCUCAGCAGCAUGUUAACUCUAAAAAGAUGAAAGAUGCUGCACCUACAAGGCUAUCACUUCCAACAAAAUUUCCACUAACUCUCGGUGAUUUCUGCUAUUGUGGAUUGUCCUUUGAGAUAUGAUGAUCUGACAGAAAAAGAAAACAAAAAAAAUAAGAUCGUAGGUAUGCAGAAACUUUCAUUACACAUUCUAAUAAAUGUGAAGUUACUUUCAUUACACAUUCUAAUAAAUGUGAAGUUACUUUCAUUACACAUUCUAAUAAAUGUGAAGUUACUUUCAUUACACAUUCUAAUAAAUGUGAAGUUACUUUCAUUACACAUUCUAAUAAAUGUGAAGUUACUUUCAUUACACAUUCUAAUAAAUGUGAAGUUACUUUCAUUACACAUUCUAAUAAAUGUGAAGUUACUUUCAUUACACAUUCUAAUAAAUGUGAAGUUACUUUCAUUACACAUUCUAAUAAAUGUGAAGUUACUUUCAUUACACAUUCUAAUAAAUGUGAAGUUACUUUCAUUACACAUUCUAAUAAAUGUGAAGUUACUUUCAUUACACAUUCUAAUAAAUGUGAAGUUACUUUCAUUACACAUUCUAAUAAAUGUGAAGUUACUUUCAUUACACAUUCUAAUAAAUGUGAAGUUACUUUCAUUACAUAUUUUAAUAAAUUUGAAGUUACAUAUCUAAGUUCAAAAAGAUGAGAACAGUUGAUCAUAAACUGUUAUCAACAACAGAGAUUACUAAGAACAAUAUAAAAGAAAGGCAGAAAAAUGUGAGUUGCUCUCAAGUCUUACCGCUAAGUUUAUCAACAUAAGGUUGAAGGUCAACAACAAUCUCAUCUUCAUCAGAAUCUGAUUCGAAUCCAUCAAGAUCUUCAACAAUUUUUUAAAAAACAAGUCAUUACAGUUCUAAAUGCAAAUUCACUAUAUUAAAUGAAACAAAUGAAACUAGAGAAGAUAAAUUUACCUUCUUGUCCACAAAUCCAAUCCCUAGUACAUAGUUUCACCUCAACAUUUGCAAGAAGAAUAGAGCUUUGAAACUUUCCAAUGGCACGACCUCCGGUGCUAAAUGUAGAUUCAGAGGCUACUGUAGUGAUGGGCACACACAAAACAUCCCGUGCCAUUAAUGAAAGUUCUGGAUACCUUAGUUUGUUAUCCUUCCAAAAUCCAACUACAUCUAGAUUCGGAUUUGUUUUACGAUCAACGUUAGCUUCUUCCGAAUAUAACUCUAAUUGUGUUUUACUGGUACUCGACUCUAACUGACUUUGAAACAUAUCAAACUCCUCAAAUGCUUGAGUCAUUUGAAAUCUAUUACUACAAGCAUGCUUCAGUCAUUUGACAAUGAGGUUGUUGUAGAUGGUAUCAAGUACUCUUCGAAUAAUAACUUUAAAUUACCUUCGAUAACCUUCACUUUUCAAUUGGCGGUAUCAAAAUUAAGCUUUGAAAAACAAAACUUAACAAAAUUCAGUUUAUAUUUCGGGUCAAGAACCAUUGCUAUAGAUAAAAUGAUGUUAUAUGACUCCCAAUAUUUUUUGAACUUCUUUAACAUAGAAGUGGCCAUCUCAGUCAUCAUUGGAUCUUUACUUCUUUUGUGUUCUACCAAUAGCAUUUCAAUUCUCCAUAUAUUAAGAAGAUACAAAUUUGUUGUGGGGUACUUGCAUCUAGAAAAUAAAGUUGUGAUAUCAUAGAAUGGCCUCAAAAAUGUAGCUACAAUCUCAACCUUUUUCCACUCAUCUUCAAAAAGGCUAUGUCUAAAAUCAGGAUCAACCAAGUCAUAAUGAAUAUAUGCCUGCUGAUACAAAAGAGCACUUUCAAUCAUUUGAUAGGUUGAAUUCUAUCGAAUAGGCACAUCUUGGCGUAGUUUUGUAGAACAUGGUAGACCAAGGUUACUAAGGCACUCCGCAAAUUUCUCUAGUUUUACUUCUGAAUUCUUGAUAUACUUAACACCUUCUCUAAUUUUUCCAAUAGUUGCAUCAACCUUCGCUAAACCCGCCUUAACAAUUAAGUUAAGGAUGUGAUUUCCAUAACGAAGAUGAAGAAACUUUCCCUCACAAACUAGUGAACGCAUUAAAGACAAAUGAUUCUUCAAAACAUCAACCACACCUUUAUUGCAAGUAGCAUUAUCUAAAGUAAGGGCAAAGAUUUUCUUUUCGAUUCCCCACUCUUUAAGAAAAUCAAUCAAUAAAUGACCUAAAACUACACCCGAAUGUGGAGGAAGAACAUGACGAAAAAUCAAAACCCUUUUCUGAAGAACCCAAUUUAUGUCCACAUAAUGAGUUGUUACACACAUAUAGCCAUUAGCUACUAAUGAAGUCCACAUGUCAAAUGUCAAACACACUCUACUAGAAAUCAAUAUAAUGCAAGUUCAACUUUUAGAAGUUCUUUUUCUCUAGCAUACAAAUUCAAGAUAUCUGACUUGGAUGUGUUUCUUGAUCUAUGCCUUGCUAUUGGAUUUAAAUAUGAAUGAAUAUCCCUGAUGCCUUUGUGCUCUACAAAACUGAAAGCAUAAUUAUGCCUAGAUAUACCCAAUGACAUCUUCUCUCGAUAAGUUUUUUGAUCUAUUGGCUCAUUUUGACCCUCUUUAGCCUUAUCUGGGUUAUGUUUCUCCAAAUGACGCUUUAGAUUUGUUGUUCCAAAUGUAGGGCCCAUUGCAAAUUUUUUGUUUACAGAUCAUGCAUUGAACUUCAUACUUUCCGUCAAUAGAAUUAGGCUUAAGUCUAAUAAAUUAAUCCCAAACAACAGAUAUUUUCCUUUUUGCUCGUAUCAACGAAGUUGCAGUACUUCGUUCACAAGACUCUUCAUUGCCUUCUAUCGACAUAUCACCCUAAUUUUACAAAUCAUAAACAAUGAGCCAUACAUACAAAUAACAAAAUCAACUCAUAGCAGCACAAUUAAUAAGGUAAGAAUAUCAAAUGAACUAAAAGUUACUUUAGCUUCUCACAGACUAUGUCUAUGUGGAUCAUCCAUAUCUAUUUCACACUAUUGAGGGAACUACUUCUUUGGCCUUCAACCUACCAUAGCCCUCUUUCUUCAUUUGGGUUUGGACCAUGUAUGCUCAUAUAGGCAGGGUUAAGAAGUAGUUGUACCCAUGACUAGAAGUUGUAUUUACACAUGCAUCGCUAAGUAGAUCUAAAAGUUGAACUAAAAGAAACAAAUAGAAAGUCUACUAUCAAAUCAAUCAAAACAGCAAAGCAGAGUACCACAGCAACAACAACAACAACAAAAAUAGAAAAGGAGAAAAUAGAGACGGAGAUAGAAGUAAAGACGAAGGAGAGAGUCUCACCGGAGAAAUCGCCGGAGCUGAGACAACGUUGGUUGAUGGAAGAUGAUGAAAAGUUGAGGCAAUUUUGGUUCGCGUGGGUUUCAAAUUUCUGCCCUAUUUUUU
RNAcentral lists this long non-coding RNA (3720 nucleotides) under Solanum tuberosum (potato). RNAcentral's name for it is "long non-coding RNA (STUB_LNC002748)". The record is from RNAcentral. Lineage: Eukaryota; Viridiplantae; Streptophyta; Magnoliopsida; Solanales; Solanaceae.